AUUGAACGCUAGCGGCAGGCCUAACACAUGCAAGUCGGACGGUAGCACAGAGAGCUUGCUCUCUGGGUGGCGAGUGGCGGACGGGUGAGGAAUACAUCGGAAUCUACCUUUUCGUGGAGGAUAACGUAGGGAAACUUACGCUAAUACCGCAUACGACCUUCGGGUGAAAGCAGGGGACCUUCGGUCCUUGCGCGGAUAGAUGAGCCGAUGUCGGAUUAGCUAGUUGGCGGGGUAAAGGCCCACCAAGGCGACGAUCCGUAGCUGGUCUGAGAGGAUGAUCAGCCACACUGGAACUGAGACACGGUCCAGACUCCUACGGGAGGCAGCAGUGGGGAAUAUUGGACAAUGGGCGCAAGCCUGAUCCAGCCAUACCGCGUGGGUGAAGAAGGCCUUCGGGUUGUAAAGCCCUUUUGUUGGGAAAGAAAAGCAGCCAGUUAAUACCUGGUUGUUCUGACGGUACCCAAAGAAUAAGCACCGGCUAACUUCGUGCCAGCAGCCGCAGUAA
RNAcentral lists this ribosomal RNA (505 nucleotides) under uncultured bacterium. RNAcentral describes it as "partial 16S ribosomal RNA". It matches the Rfam family "Bacterial small subunit ribosomal RNA", at positions 30 to 523 of the family's 1533-position model. The record is from RNAcentral.